Lathyrus oleraceus (garden pea) is the source of this 650-nucleotide long non-coding RNA. RefSeq lists it as uncharacterized. Lineage: Eukaryota; Viridiplantae; Streptophyta; Magnoliopsida; Fabales; Fabaceae. The transcript is spliced from 2 exons. The record is from RefSeq and is a predicted model, not a curated record.
UAAAACCAUUUUGUUCAUUGUUUAAAAGCCUAUUUAGGUCAUGAUACAAUGAAACAUCAUAAAAUAAAAAGAAAAAUUAAACGACGGUGACUCUAUUAGAUAUAUGAUUUCUUGUUGCCAGUUGUUGAAAAAUCUAAAAAGUGAUCAAAAUAUAGACACAUCUAGGUGGAAUUGAGAAUGGAAAAUGAUCAAGUUACAAGCAAGGAGAUGAAAGUUGAGAUUCCAUCAAAGAGUGAAGUGAUGGCAAGUAGUGUUGGAGGUUCUAAUGUGGGACAAGGUGGACUUAUGAGACAACCUAGUAUGACCAAAACUAGUUGUCUAUGUUCACCAACAACACAUCCUGGUUCAUUUCGUUGUAGGCUUCAUCGUACUCCUAGUCUCCAAAGGACCAAGAGUAUGGAACCAGGAUCGGUGUCUGAUCAGGAUCAACAUUAGGUCACAGUUCUAUGGUUGAUGCUGACAAGGAUCAGAUGGAAUAAUCUUCUAUUGAAUUUUAUGUUCAAUUUUAUUAAGCUGCUGUUGUUAUUUCUGUUCUGUAUAAUUGUAUAUUGUUCCAAAAUCCAUGUCGAUGAUUCUAAAUCUGAACUGUGAAAUUGGGAAAUGUUUCUUCUUUUUUUUGUAUCUCUCUAUUUAUUAUCUUUUUUCUUUAA